UCGUACGCUUCUUUUUCCACCGGAGCUUGCUCCACCGGAAAAAGAAGAGUGGCGAACGGGUGAGUAACACGUGGGUAACCUGCCCAUCAGAAGGGGAUAACACUUGGAAACAGGUGCUAAUACCGUAUAACAAUCGAAACCGCAUGGUUUUGAUUUGAAAGGCGCUUUCGGGUGUCGCUGAUGGAUGGACCCGCGGUGCAUUAGCUAGUUGGUGAGGUAACGGCUCACCAAGGCCACGAUGCAUAGCCGACCUGAGAGGGUGAUCGGCCACAUUGGGACUGAGACACGGCCCAAACUCCUACGGGAGGCAGCAGUAGGGAAUCUUCGGCAAUGGACGAAAGUCUGACCGAGCAACGCCGCGUGAGUGAAGAAGGUUUUCGGAUCGUAAAACUCUGUUGUUAGAGAAGAACAAGGAUGAGAGUAACUGUUCAUCCCUUGACGGUAUCUAACCAGAAAGCCACGGCUAACUACGUGCCAG
Molecule: ribosomal RNA, 478 nt
Filed under: Enterococcus durans
Lineage: Bacteria; Bacillati; Bacillota; Bacilli; Lactobacillales; Enterococcaceae
Description: bacterial SSU rRNA
Rfam family: Bacterial small subunit ribosomal RNA
Source: RNAcentral